UGUGUAUCAGUACAUGGCAUAUCAAUAAGCGGAGGAAAAGAAACUAACUAGGAUUCCCUCAGUAACGGCGAGUGAAGCGGGAAGAGCUCAAAUUUGAAAUCUUCAAGGUUCUACCUUGACGAAUUGUAGUUUAAAGAAGUGUUUUCCUGUUGGAGUUUCGGUAAAAGUUCUUUGGAAUAGGACAUCAUAGAGGGUGAGAAUCCCGUAUUUGACCGUUACUUUCCAGCUGUGUGAUACACUUUCAAAGAGUCGGAUUGUUUGGGAAUGCAGUCCAAAAUGGGUGGUAAAUUUCAUCUAAAGCUAAAUAUUGGCGAGAGACCGAUAGCGAACAAGUACCGUGAGGGAAAGAUGAAAAGAACUUUGAAAAGAGAGUUAAACAGUACGUGAAAUUGUCAAAAGGGAAGCGUUUGACACCAGUGUUGUUUCCUCGAAAAUCAAUUAAAAAGAGUCGGAUUUUGUAUUGUUAAGACCUUAUCAGCUUACUGUACUUUUUUCUUGCUCUUUUUAAUGCACUUUUCGUUUAACAAGUCAACAUCAAUUUCUUUUGUUGUAAAAGGGUCAUUGGAAGGUGGCUUUCACUUCGGUGAAAGUGUUUAUAGCCUUUGACUUCUGCAAUCGGAGAAAUUGAGGUCUGCAGCGUAGAUCCUUCGGGGUUAGAUACGUAGAUGCUAAGUUAUAGUUUUUUAUAGACAACUUGUUGACUAUGAUUAAUCAUGUAGCUUACUCAUUUGCGCUAUUUUACCUACGCUUAGGAUGUUGACAGCAGUAUAGACUGU
RNAcentral lists this ribosomal RNA (776 nucleotides) under uncultured Neocallimastigales. RNAcentral's name for it is "partial large subunit ribosomal RNA". It matches the Rfam family "Eukaryotic large subunit ribosomal RNA", at positions 22 to 633 of the family's 3401-position model. Lineage: Eukaryota; Fungi; Neocallimastigomycota; Neocallimastigomycetes; Neocallimastigales. The record is from RNAcentral.